GGGGAAUAUUGGACAAUGGGCGCAAGCCUGAUCCAGCCAUACCGCGUGGGUGAAGAAGGCCUUCGGGUUGUAAAGCCCUUUUGUUGGGAAAGAAAAGCAGCCGGUUAAUACCCGGUUGUUCUGACGGUACCCAAAGAAUAAGCACCGGCUAACUUCGUGCCAGCAGCCGCGGUAAUACGAAGGGUGCAAGCGUUACUCGGAAUUACUGGGCGUAAAGCGUGCGUAGGUGGUUGUUUAAGUCUGUCGUGAAAGCCCUGGGCUCAACCUGGGAAGGGGCAGUGAAACUGGGGGGAUAGAGUGUGGCAGGAGGUAGGGGAAUUCCUGGUGUAGCAGUGAAAUGCGUAGAGAUCAGGAGGAACAUCCGUGGCGAAGGCGACUGCCUGGGCCAACACUGACACUGAGGCACGAAAGCGUGGGGAGCAAACA
Molecule: ribosomal RNA, 426 nt
Filed under: uncultured Stenotrophomonas sp.
Lineage: Bacteria; Pseudomonadati; Pseudomonadota; Gammaproteobacteria; Lysobacterales; Lysobacteraceae
Description: bacterial SSU rRNA
Rfam family: Bacterial small subunit ribosomal RNA
Source: RNAcentral